Molecule: ribosomal RNA, 322 nt
Filed under: uncultured eukaryote
Lineage: Eukaryota
Description: partial 18S ribosomal RNA
Rfam family: Eukaryotic small subunit ribosomal RNA
Source: RNAcentral
CCCUUAGAUGUUCUGGGCCGCACGCGUGCUACACUGAGUGGAUCAGCGGGUCAGGUUGCGCGAAAGUGUUUCCUAAUCUUUAAAUCCGCUCGUGAUGGGGAUUGACGGUUGCAAUUUUCCGUCAUGAACGAGGAAUACCUUGUAAGCGCGGGUCAUCAUCCCGCGCUGAAUACGUCCCUGCCCUUUGUACACACCGCCCGUCGCUCCUACCGAUUGAGUGGUCCGGUGAGGCUUUGGGAUCUGAGCGGAAAGAGCGUUUCGCUGUUUCUGCCCGGAAAGCUCAGUCGAACCUUAUCAUUUAGAGGAAGGAGAAGGCGUAACA